RNAcentral lists this ribosomal RNA (207 nucleotides) under uncultured Eubacteriales bacterium. RNAcentral describes it as "uncultured Clostridiales bacterium partial 16S ribosomal RNA". It matches the Rfam family "Bacterial small subunit ribosomal RNA", at positions 568 to 774 of the family's 1533-position model. Lineage: Bacteria; Bacillati; Bacillota; Clostridia; Eubacteriales. The record is from RNAcentral.
AGCGUAGGCGGUCUGAUAAGUCUGAUGUGAAAGCCCGGGGCUCAACCCCGGGACUGCAUUGGAAACUGUUGGACUAGAGUGUCGGAGAGGUAAGUGGAAUUCCUAGUGUAGCGGUGAAAUGCGUAGAUAUUAGGAAGAACACCAGUGGCGAAGGCGGCUUACUGGACGAUUACUGACGCUGAGACUCGAAAGCGUGGGGAGCAAACA